AGGUGUUUCAUUUGUGUGAAACUCGGCAGUUUUGAGGACAGCAGACAAGGACAGCGACCGAAGGAAUUCAGGGACCUUUUACCAACGUUUCGGCAAGGAAUUGCCUUUGACCUUGGAUUCUGGAUUGUUUCCUCCUGGACAAAGUAGAUGGCAAGCCACCGUUGAAUCUCAACCUCCCUCAUUCCUGAGGAGAAAAACAUCUCUUCCUUCACUCCCUCAUUGUGAUGUGUGUCCCUGCACAGUCUGUGAAUGGCAUGGACCCAAGCGUCUCGUUCCUUUUGGACAGCCCCAGGAGCAGCAGUCUGAUCUGGUACAGGCACCCGGAACCUGUUAUAAAUCCACAAAACUUAACUUCACUCAUGAACUGAGGCAAUUCAGGUGAAUCACGAUGGACCUGGGCACCGAGUAUGUCACCUCACCAUCGGUGGAGCCCCGUCGCCUGAAGGGGACCAGUGUUAGCUGGCCCGGGUGGAGCUGGACCUCAUAUCUGGAAC
This is a long non-coding RNA of Epinephelus fuscoguttatus (brown-marbled grouper), 494 nucleotides long. RefSeq lists it as uncharacterized. NCBI's taxonomy places the organism in Eukaryota, Metazoa, Chordata, Actinopteri, Perciformes, Serranidae. The transcript has 4 exons. The record is from RefSeq and is a predicted model, not a curated record.